RNAcentral lists this unclassified non-coding RNA (440 nucleotides) under Hevea brasiliensis (rubber tree). Lineage: Eukaryota; Viridiplantae; Streptophyta; Magnoliopsida; Malpighiales; Euphorbiaceae. The record is from RNAcentral.
ACAUGCAUAUUUCAUUAGAUUUCUUGACAGCGUUGAGGCUUAUCCAGAGCAAAGGGCAAUGGCUGCAUUUGUCUUGGCAGUAACUGCUGAUGGUCACAGACGGGGUCAGGAGGCGUGUAUUGAAGUGGGGCUUAUUAAUGUCUGCUUGAAGCAUCUUCAGGGAUCAACGCCUAAUGAGGCACAAACUGAACCACUUUUUCUUCAAUGGCUGUGCCUUUGUCUGGGAAAACUGUGGGAGGAUUUCACAGAGGCACAAGUACUAGGUUUGCAGGCAGAUGCACCAGCAAUAUUUGCACCGCUGCUGUCUGAGCCCCAACCUGAGGUGCGCGCUGCAGCUACUUUUGCUCUAGGGACUUUACUUGAUGUUGGAUUUGACUCAGCUAGGGAUGGUGUUGGAGGAGAUGACGACUGUGAUGAUGAGGAGAAGGUUAGGACUGAAG